GAUGAACGCUGGCGGCGUGCCUAACACAUGCAAGUCGAGCGGCAGCGCGGGGUGCUUGCACCCUGUCGGCGAGCGGCGGACGGCUGAGUAACGCGUGGGAACGUGCCCCAAAGUGAGGAAUAACUGCCCGACAGGGUAGCUAAUACCGCAUAUUAUCUUCGGAUCAAAGGAUUUAUCCGCUUUGGGAGCGGCUCGCGUCGGAUUAGGUAGUUGGUGAGGUAAUGGCUCACCAAGCCGACGAUCCGUAGCUGGUCUGAGAGGAUGACCAGCCAGACUGGAACUGAGACACGGUCCAGACUCCUACGGGAGGCAGCAGUUAGGAAUCUUCCACAAUGGGCGAAAGCCUGAUGGAGCAACGCCGCGUGCAGGACGAAGGCCUUCGGGUUGUAAACUGCUUUUAUAAGUGAGGAAUAUGACGGUAACUUAUGAAUAAGGAUCGGCUAACUACGUG
This 451-nucleotide ribosomal RNA is filed under the name uncultured bacterium. RNAcentral's name for it is "partial 16S ribosomal RNA". It matches the Rfam family "Bacterial small subunit ribosomal RNA", at positions 28 to 507 of the family's 1533-position model. The record is from RNAcentral.